RNAcentral lists this transfer RNA (64 nucleotides) under Cymbidium goeringii. RNAcentral's name for it is "tRNA-Lys". It matches the Rfam family "tRNA". Rfam says of the family: Transfer RNA (tRNA) molecules are approximately 80 nucleotides in length. Their secondary structure includes four short double-helical elements and three loops (D, anti-codon, and T loops). The record is from RNAcentral. Lineage: Eukaryota; Viridiplantae; Streptophyta; Magnoliopsida; Asparagales; Orchidaceae.
GGGUUGCUAACUCAACGGUAGAGUACUCGGCUUUUAAUUCCGGGUUCGAGUCCCGGGCAACCCA